GCUCCAAAUACAUCCAGAGAUGAGAAGAAAGACGGUGACCUGAUUCCGGAAGUUCAGAUGUCCAUGUUGGUGACCUGAUUCAGGAAGUCUUUCAGGAGGAUAUCAAGCUUGGAUCUUGGAUAGAACUGGGAUGCGAGGCACUGGUGAUUGGGCAAUAUCCCUGCCUGUAGGAUUCUUUGUGGAAUGCUGGAUAUUCAUAUUCCGGUCUUUUCUUAUCUCUGGUUGCCUCAGGGAAGUAAGAACCCAUCUGGGAAAGAGAGGACAGGACUGAAGAGGGACUCAAGGGAGUUGAGCUUACUGGAUUGGGGGUGAAUGUUAAAGUUCCAGUUUGAACAGGUUUGGAGGGAGAGAUGGAUGGUGGGGAGGGCAUCAUACCUUCACCCUUGCUACAUACUUCCUCUUCUUUCCAGCAGAGCCCAAGCUGGAGACCAGGAGAAUCUAGAGGAAGGAGGUGACACAGGCCUGCUCCUAGUCUGAUGGGAAAACCUACGUUAUACCCUCAAAGAACCCCAAUCUGAUGGAGUUUUGCUCUUGUUGCCCAGAUUGGAGUGCAGUGGUACGAUCUCAGCUCACUGCAACCUCUGCCUCCUGGUUUCAAGCGAUUCUUCUGCCGCAGCCUCCUGGGUAGCUGGGAUUACAGGUAUCUGCCAUCACG
This 655-nucleotide long non-coding RNA is filed under the name Pan troglodytes (chimpanzee). RNAcentral's name for it is "lincRNA". The record is from RNAcentral. Lineage: Eukaryota; Metazoa; Chordata; Mammalia; Primates; Hominidae.